CACCUGUUCCAAAUUAGCCUUCACACCUGUGGGAUGUCCCAAAUAAGUGUUUGAUGAGCAUUUCUUAACUUUAUCAGUAUUUAUUGCCACCUUUCCCAACUUGUUUGUUGCGUGUUGCUAGCAUCAAAUUCUAAAGUUAAUGAUUAUUUGCACCAAAAAAAUGUUUAUCAGAGUGAACAUCAAAUAUGUUGUCUUUGUAGCAUAUUCAACUGAAUAUGGCUUGAAAAUGAUUUGCAAAUCAUUGUAUUCUGUUUAUAUUUACAUCUAACACCAUUUCCCAACUCAUAUGGAAACGGGGUUUGUACUUAAUUUUAUAAUUAUUUACAUUUAUGAAAGAGUAAUUCUGUUUGUAAUUGAAUUUUUAGUCAAGUAACGACUAUUAUUAUUCCUUUUUAAAACAGAUAUUCCAAACAUUGUUAAUUGAUAAACUGUUUUAUCAGGAUAUGGUGUAUUUGCUCUUGCAUCAAUUUAAAAAGGUUCUUUUGUGGUCGAGUACCGAGGGAAGUUCAUCUCAAGACAUGAGCGGGACAAGAGACAGAAACCCUCUAUAAAUAUCUUUACUAUUUAUCUGGCAUUAUAUGCUCAUAAUGUUAACAACAAAAAGUGCUGAUAAUGUUAUAAUUAAUAAGUUCUAACAUUAUUUUUAUGUGUUUUGUUGCAGACACCAACUGUUGAUGUUCUAUCUCAACAUUCUCCAGACUCAUGUGAGCGAUAAACCGACUUCAUCCCUCCAACAGGUUAUUACUUGACUAUUUUACUAUCCAUCCAUCCAUCCAUUUUCUACUACCUGUCCCUUUUUUGGGUUGGCGGGGUGUGCUUGAGCCUAUCUGAGCUGCAUUCGGGCGGAAGGCGGAGUACACCCUGGACAAGUCGCCACCUCAUUACACGGCCAACACAAAUAGACAACAUUUACACUCACAUUCACACACUAGGGCCAAUUUAGUGUUGCCAAUCAACCUAUCCCCAGGUGCAUCUUUGGAGGUAUGAUGAAGCCGGAGUACCCGGAGGGAACCCACGCAGUCACGGGGAGAACAUGCAAACUCCACACAGAAAGAUCACGAGCCCAGGAUUUAACUCAGGACUACUCAGGACCUUCGAUUUGUGACGCACAUGCACUAACCCCUGUUCCACUGUGCUGCCCUAUAUCUGCUAAAAACUUGACACAACCUAUUCUUCAAAAGACAUUUAAUCCUUUUAACCUCUCACAGAUCAGUUUAUAUGACAACAUUUUUUAAGCGUACAUCCAUGUUAGUCUGUGGAAUUUACAACUCAUGUUUAGCAAAACAGGAGGUGUUACAGGUCAGCAACAUGAAUUCUAUAUGUGAUCACUUGUCAUGUACUCAUAUUGUUUGAACUAAAAAAGACUUCAGUGUGUUUCAUAUAAGGUCCUCAUAUUUUUCUGAACCACAUUAGUGUGUGUUACAAUGUUUAAUUCAAAGCUUUAAAAUGAGUGUUUCAAUCCAGGUCCUCAUAUUUUCUGAACCACAUUUUAGUGAAUGUUACAUUCUUAAAUAAUAGUCUAAGAGCUAAAACGCUAUAAUAAUCUUUACUGUUUAUGUAGAAUUAUAUGCUCAGAAUAUUAUCAACCAAAAGUGGUUUUUAAUGUUAUAAUUAAUUAGUUCUGACAUUAUAUUUUUGUGUUUUGUUGCAGACACCAACUGUUGGGGUUCUAUCUCAACAUUCUCCAGAUUCAGAUGUGAGCGAUAAACCGACUUCAUCCCUCCAACAGAAACCAACUGUUGAGGUUCCAUCUCAACAUUCUCCGGAUUCAGAUGUGAGCCAUUAACUGACUUCAUCCCUCCAACAGAAACCAACUGUUUGAGGUUCUAUCUCAACAUUCUCUAGAUUCAGAUGACAGCCAUAAACCGACUUCAUCCCUCCAACAGAUUGACAGCAGGACAAAUCGCUGGAAGUGGGUAUGUCUCAAGCUUCUUCCACUUGGUCCACUCUAAAGCGGGCUGCAAAGGGGAAGAAGUGGAAGCAGUUGAAUGACACAUGUUGCAUUUUGUAACUGGCAACAAAGUACCAGGUAAAAAAGAUUGUGAAGCCUGCCUCCAUAAAGAACUAGUAGCUCUACAGGACAGAGAUUGGCUUGCCAUCAAGUACUACAUCCAUAACAGAAUUAUAUUAAAAAAAGGGAAAAAAAAUGUUUUCCCACAUCUUCUGUGGUAGUUUGAGUAUGUUACCAGCAAUUAAAAAAGCAAAAUAAACA
Nerophis ophidion (straightnose pipefish) is the source of this 2212-nucleotide long non-coding RNA. RefSeq lists it as uncharacterized. Lineage: Eukaryota; Metazoa; Chordata; Actinopteri; Syngnathiformes; Syngnathidae. The transcript has 5 exons. The record is from RefSeq and is a predicted model, not a curated record.